Molecule: transfer RNA, 72 nt
Filed under: Candidatus Sungiibacteriota bacterium
Lineage: Bacteria; Candidatus Sungiibacteriota
Description: tRNA-Ile
Rfam family: tRNA
About the family: Transfer RNA (tRNA) molecules are approximately 80 nucleotides in length. Their secondary structure includes four short double-helical elements and three loops (D, anti-codon, and T loops).
Source: RNAcentral
GGGCGUGUAGCUCAGUGGUAGAGCGCGUCACUGAUAAUGACGAGGUCCCAGGUUCAAUCCCUGGCACGCCCA